RNAcentral lists this transfer RNA (73 nucleotides) under Methylacidimicrobium cyclopophantes. RNAcentral's name for it is "Verrucomicrobia bacterium 3b tRNA". It matches the Rfam family "tRNA". From Rfam's summary of the family: Transfer RNA (tRNA) molecules are approximately 80 nucleotides in length. Their secondary structure includes four short double-helical elements and three loops (D, anti-codon, and T loops). Further hydrogen bonds mediate the characteristic L-shaped molecular structure. tRNAs have two regions of fundamental functional importance: the anti-codon, which is responsible for specific mRNA codon recognition, and the 3' end, to which the tRNAs corresponding amino acid is attached (by aminoacyl-tRNA synthetases). tRNAs cope with the degeneracy of the genetic code in two manners: having more than one tRNA (with a specific anti-codon) for a particular amino acid; and 'wobble' base-pairing, i.e. permitting non-standard base-pairing at the 3rd anti-codon position. RNAcentral also lists the same sequence under 3 other names. Lineage: Bacteria; Pseudomonadati; Verrucomicrobiota. The record is from Rfam by way of RNAcentral.
GGGGGCAUAGCUCAGUUGGUAGAGCGACAGCUUUGCACGCUGUAGGUCAGGGGUUCGAAUCCCCUUGCCUCCA